Molecule: long non-coding RNA, 1310 nt
Filed under: Homo sapiens (human)
Lineage: Eukaryota; Metazoa; Chordata; Mammalia; Primates; Hominidae
Description: non-protein coding lnc-TSHZ1-4:4
Source: RNAcentral
AGGGACCGGUAGGCGCCGGGGUCAGCGCCAGCGUUUGAUGUGCGGCGGGGAGCGGGCCGAGCCCCGGGAGGCCGCUUCGCACCUCCCAGUGUGUCCGGGUUGAGCGCGAGGUCAGGAGGGGACGCAGAGUUCACGGCGAAGACGGAUCGCGGGGGCUCGUCCCGCCCGGGUUGCGCGCAGCGGGGGCCGCGUGAUGGAUGGGCCGGGCCGGGCACCCGGGAACCCGCGAGCGCGGGGCUGGGCUCUGGGCUGCGUCCGGGGGCCCCGACUUGGUUAUUGAUCGGCCCAAGCGCAGGAGAACUGACUCUAUAAUGCAUCGCCUGACCAGGAAAAGUGUUUGCUUUUGUGGGAGCAAAAGACAACUUUCUGCCCCGCCAGAGCGUUGCUAAGUGAGCGGUAAUGACCACGCUAGAAAUUUCAUAGGGAGAGGCUAAUGGCAGGCUGACUCUAAAAGUGCUUUUAAGUGCAACUUCUGUCUAAUCCCUUGAGGGGGAAGAAAACAUCGGCGACUAAGAAAGUUCAAGUUGUACAGGACCCGGGUUUUUGGGGUCGGGGUCACUUCUGCUCUGCGUGACUUUGAAGAGGAAGACCUGCGGUUUUUUCCAGUGGAUUUUCACACGUGUUUUAAAGAGAACUCCCGGCUCCUGAAAUGAAAGGCCCGCCUGUAGGGUUUUGCUGCCUCCCCUCUGCCCACGCCCCACCCCCACAGCCUGGAUCAAAGCGAUCAGACAAAUUAUUCAGAAGUAACACAGCCCUGAAAUGUUCCUAAACGUGACUAUUUGAGGCGAUGAAUCAAGCGUGUUCCCUCCGCCCCCAACCCACCCCCAGACCGAAAAUGUGACUCUGGAAACGGACUUGCAGAGCUGGCUUCGGUUUAUAUGCGGUUCUGACCCCUGUUGACUUUAGGACAAGCCUUCCUGUUUCCAGUACUGCAGCAUCGCCAGACAGCCUCGCCAUGCAAUCGGCUUUCCAGAUACGAUUUCACUCCUCACCAAAGACACUUCUUUAGGGCGAUUUUAGGAUUCUAUCAACGCUAGUAAAGGAACUACUUAAACACGUUGAUUUGUAUCGCCUUCCCUGACUAUGAAACAUUGAAGUGGAAUACUACUCAUCAAUAAAAAAAAUAUAAACUCCUGAUACACCUCAUGGAUGGAUGCAUAGAUGGAUGGAUGGAUCUGAAAAACAUCGUGCUGAAUAAAAGAAGCCAGACAUGAAAGAAAUGUUGUCCAUAUUGCAUAAAGUUGUGUCAUUUCCUACUCAAACAAAGACUAUCUACCUGAAUGCUUGCAACACGACAAGAAUAAUAACAG